RNAcentral lists this ribosomal RNA (444 nucleotides) under uncultured bacterium. RNAcentral's name for it is "bacterial SSU rRNA". It matches the Rfam family "Bacterial small subunit ribosomal RNA", at positions 355 to 796 of the family's 1533-position model. The record is from RNAcentral.
UGGGGAAUUUUGGACAAUGGGGGCAACCCUGAUCCAGCGACGCCGCGUGAAGGAUGAAGGUCUUCGGAUUGUAAACUUCUUUUGGAGGGGAUGAAUGCCUGAGUGAAAAACUCAGGGUGACAGUACUCUCUGAAUAAGCCACGGCUAACUACGUGCCAGCAGCCGCGGUAAUACGUAGGUGGCAAGCGUUACUCGGAAUCACUAGGCGUAAAGCGCAGGUAGGCGGUUCGGUAAGUCUGUUGUGAAAGCUCCCGGCUCAACUGGGAGAGGCCAACGGAAACUGCCGGGCUAGAGUGUGGUAGAGGUAGCUGGAAUUCCCGGUGUAGCGGUGAAAUGCGUAGAUAUCGGGAGGAAUACCUAUGGCGAAAGCAGGCUACUGGACCAUCACUGACGCUGAUCUGCGAAAGCUAGGGGAGCAAACAGGAUUAGAUACCCCCGUAGUCC